GAGUUUGAUCAUGGCUCAGGAUGAACGCUGGCGGCGUGCUUAACACAUGCAAGUCGAACGAACCUUCGGGUUAGUGGCGGACGGGUGAGUAACGCGUGGGAAUCUGCCCUCAGGAGGGGGAUAACGGUUGGAAACGACCGCUAAUACCCCAUAUGCCGAGAGGUGAAAUGAAUUUCGCCUGAGGAUGAGCCCGCGUCUGAUUAGCUUGUUGGUGAGGUAAUGGCUCACCAAGGCAUCGAUCAGUAGCUGGUCUGAGAGGAUGAUCAGCCACACUGGGACUGAGACACGGCCCAGACUCCUACGGGAGGCAGCAGUGGGGAAUUUUCCGCAAUGGGCGAAAGCCUGACGGAGCAACGCCGCGUGAGGGACGAAGGCCUCUGGGCUGUAAACCUCUUUUCUCAAGGAAGAAGAUAUGACGGUACUUGAGGAAUAAGCCACGGCUAAUUCCGUGCCAGCAGCCGCGGUAAUACGGGAGUGGCAAGCGUUAUCCGGAAUUAUUGGGCGUAAAGCGUCCGCAGGCGGCCCUUCAAGUCUGCUGUUAAAACGUGGAGCUUAACUCCAUCAUGGCAGUGGAAACUGAUUGGCUUGAGUAUGGUAGGGGCAGAGGGAAUUCCCGGUGUAGCGGUGAAAUGCGUAGAUAUCGGGAAGAACACCAGUGGCGAAGGCGCUCUGCUGGGCCAUUAUUGACGCUCAUGGACGAAAGCCAGGGGAGCGAAAGGGAUUAGAUACCCCUGUAGUCCUGGCCGUAAACGAUGAACACUAGGUGUCGGGGGAAUCGACCCCUUCGGUGUCGUAGCUAACGCGUUAAGUGUUCCGCCUGGGGAGUACGCACGCAAGUGUGAAACUCAAAGGAAUUGACGGGGGCCCGCACAAGCGGUGGAGUAUGUGGUUUAAUUCGAUGCAACGCGAAGAACCUUACCAGGGCUUGACAUCCUGCGAACCUUUAAGAAAUUAGAGGGUGCCUUCGGGGACGCAGUGACAGGUGGUGCAUGGCUGUCGUCAGCUCGUGUCGUGAGAUGUUGGGUUAAGUCCCGCAACGAGCGCAACCCACGUUUUUAGUUGCCAGCAUUUAGUUGGGCACUCUAGAAAGACCGCCGGUGAUAAACCGGAGGAAGGUGUGGAUGACGUCAAGUCAUCAUGCCCCUUACGUCCUGGGCUACACACGUACUACAAUGCUACGGACAAAGGGCAGCAAACUCGCGAGAGCUAGCAAAUCCCAUAAACCGUGGCUCAGUUCAGAUCGUAGGCUGCAACUCGCCUACGUGAAGUAGGAAUCGCUAGUAAUCGCAGGUCAGCAUACUGCGGUGAAUACGUUCCCGGGCCUUGUACACACCGCCCGUCACACCAUGGAAGUUGGCCAUGCCCGAAGUCGUUACUUUAACCCUUGUGGAGAAGGACGCCGAAGGUGGGGCUGAUGACUGGGGUGAAGUCGUAACAAGGUAACC
Molecule: ribosomal RNA, 1445 nt
Filed under: uncultured marine cyanobacterium
Lineage: Bacteria; Bacillati; Cyanobacteriota
Description: bacterial SSU rRNA
Rfam family: Bacterial small subunit ribosomal RNA
Source: RNAcentral